Molecule: microRNA, 20 nt
Filed under: Callithrix jacchus (white-tufted-ear marmoset)
Lineage: Eukaryota; Metazoa; Chordata; Mammalia; Primates; Cebidae
Description: cja-miR-9960
Source: miRBase by way of RNAcentral
UCCACAGUGGUGGAGUUGUU